GACGAACCGUGCAAACGUUGUUCGGAAUCACUGGGCGUAAAGGGCGCGUAGGCGGCUUUGUAAGUCGGGGGUGAAAGCCUGUGGCUCAACCACAGAAUUGCCUUCGAUACUGCAUGGCUUGAGACCGGAAGAGGUAAGUGGAACUGCGAGUGUAGAGGUGAAAUUCGUAGAGAUCCGGAAGAACACCGGAGGCGAAGGCGGCUUGCUGGGCGUGAUCUGACGCUGAGGCGCGAAAGCGUGGGGAGCGGACAGG
Molecule: ribosomal RNA, 253 nt
Filed under: uncultured bacterium
Lineage: Bacteria
Description: partial 16S ribosomal RNA
Rfam family: Bacterial small subunit ribosomal RNA
Source: RNAcentral